RNAcentral lists this small RNA (90 nucleotides) under Tenacibaculum dicentrarchi. RNAcentral's name for it is "Flavo-1". It matches the Rfam family "Flavo-1 RNA". The record is from RNAcentral. Lineage: Bacteria; Pseudomonadati; Bacteroidota; Flavobacteriia; Flavobacteriales; Flavobacteriaceae.
GCCUAGCCCCGAUUGAAGCAAUUGUUUGAGCUCUUUUUUGUUUUUCUUUUUAAAAAACAAAAAAAGCGAGUGCGGAAAGCGGGAAAUUGC